AGCUCCAAUAGCGUAUAUUAAAGUUGUUGCAGUUAAAAAGCUCGUAGUUGGAUUUCUGGGCCUGUACGGUGGUCCGCCGCAAGGUGAGCACUGCUGUGUGGGCCCUUCCUCUCGAAGGCUGCGUGUGCUCUUAACUGGGUGUGCGUGGGAUUCGGGAUCUUUACUUUGAAAAAAUUAGAGUGUUCAAAGCAGGCGUUUGCUUGAAUAUAUUAGCAUGGAAUAAUCGAAUAGGACUUUGGUUCUAUUUUGUUGGUUUCUAGGACCGAAGUAAUGAUUAAUAGGGACAGUUGGGGGCAUUCGUAUUUAAUUGUCAGAGGUGAAAUUCUUAGAUUUAUGAAAGACGAACUUCUGCGAAAGCAUUUGCCAAGGAUGUUUUCAUUA
This 381-nucleotide ribosomal RNA is filed under the name Lagenoeca sp. RNAcentral's name for it is "partial small subunit ribosomal RNA". It matches the Rfam family "Eukaryotic small subunit ribosomal RNA", at positions 587 to 975 of the family's 1831-position model. The record is from RNAcentral. Lineage: Eukaryota; Choanoflagellata; Craspedida; Salpingoecidae.